GCUUGCCACCACCCCACCCCCUAACCCCCAGAUAUGUAAGGGCCAUUUAAAGGGACAUCAGAGAGGCAGCCUGGUCUCUAACAAAUCCCCACCCCCUCCUCACACACUCACUGUCCCUGUCUCCAGCAACACACAGCCCCCCUGCCUCUCCAUCAGGCCCCAAAUUCCGGUUUUCUCUCACCCCUAGAGACUGCUACGAGGAGAAUGGGGCAAGGGAGACUGGGGGGAGCCAUUAAAGAAUAAGGACUCCCUCCUUCCUCAGAGCCCCAUGAGACUGGUCGGAAGAAGCCAGCCUAAGAAACAUUGAGACAGAACCCCAAAAGGCUCUCUAUGACAGCUUCCCAUUGGUCACUAGGACCCUGACGUAGUCGACGUCCGCUAAAGCCGAUUGGACUGGAGAGAGUGAGUUUGGGAAUCUGGCGGUGGACGUUCCCCAGCCUGUUACUCUGGCAACUGAGAAAACAACCCUGGCAAGCGACGGAGGUUCGACCAGCCUUACUCUGAGCAACCACUGGGUCCGUUCCUAUCGCACCUCAAUUAAUUACUUCUUUUCUCUCGGAGUUCUCAUCGCCAGGAACUAGGUGUUCUGCCUUCGACCUUCCCCACACUCCAGCCUCCAAGACACAGUCACAGGCCACAAGCCAGAAACGAAUCUGCAGUUUAGUGACCAACUCAACCCAAAUGCCACUUCACCACUGUUUAUUCUAGGCCGGAAAAAGCAUAGUCUCUCGCCCUGUCCCUAGCUUCUGCACUUUACCCAUAUGCUUACAAUUUCCUGGGCCGGGGGCGGGUGCCAGACAGAUGACAGGGAAUCAAAGGUGAACCUCAGCGCACCUUUCUCAAAGGUGCGUGUCACAGCUAUAGAUAGCCCCCCCCCCCCAACCCGCAUGGCCCUCGGCUCUGGUGGGCGUCUCAUCUUCGCCAUCUCGUGGCUACGUGGGAAAGGUUCAGCAUGGAGAAAGGGCCAGAGCCCAGUGAAGGCUAGGGAACUGAAGACGGAAAAGUGAGGAGGAGGGCACCGGCAACUAGAGGAACGAACCAGGCGAGGCCGAGAGCAGACGGUGCGGUGGAGUGCUGUGAGAUGGAAAAGCUACCGCUCCUGGAGGGAUGGUGAAAGUUGAGAAUACAUACACAUCUCCCCGGAGAAAAGAGCUGGAGGGAACCUUUGAGUGGCCCUGUAACUGGAAGUUCACUUUGCCUGAUCGCUUCUGAUCUCAGUGAGCCAGCGCCUAGCCAUAGCCCUAUCUGCAAACUGUCCUAUAGUCUCCUUCCUCAGGACCGCUGAGCCCCGCCCUAGUGUCAAUUCACCAUCCCAAGCGGGACUGGGAUUACUUUUAGGCCCUUUUGACCUUUAGAGCCAAGACCACGGGUUUUCCACUACCUUUGCCUUGUUCCCUUUUGGGGAACUUAGAUGUCCUGCGCCCCGACUCUGACAUUGCUUUUCCCAAGACUCAAAUGCCUUGCCCGACCUCUCCAGAGAGUCUGACGUCCCGCCCCUCCCCCUUGCAAGGAGAUGGUCUCCCUCUUUCCAAAAGUCCCUGCGGCUUCCCAUUACCUGGUUCUGGGGGUCCCAGGUAUUCAGGAUCUUCAAGGCCUCUCGGGGGUCGAGCGGCCCCCCCUCCCAGGCAGGAGUUGGGGGGGCCGCUCCACCCCGUGGCGCAGUUUGAUUUUCCAACACAAACACCCGCCCCCACCCCCCUUCCUCAACCCCGCCCCCGACUCGUGGUCCCGCCCCUCGCGCUGAAGUCCCUCUCUCCGGCUCCGCCCUGCCUUCGGUCCGCUCCCCUCAGCUGUAGUCUCAGAUAAGAAUCCCCAGUAAGGAUUGCAAGGCUUCGUUACUGUGCAGUGUAUAGAGCCCAUCACGGACCCUUACCUGACAAGUCUUUUAUUCUAUUUGCAUCGCGCGCCCUUCCAAAGCAAGCCCCACCCCGCCUGCUCAAAUCCUUUCCAGGAGACUUGGUCACACCUUCUUUUAGGCCUGGUGGGCAAGUAGUUCAAGACCACGCCUCCUCUUAUAGGCCACCUUUCUCUUCUCAGUUCUGGUUGUAGCAGCUCCUUUCCUUAAGUCCCAGCUUCCCUCCCUCCUCCAGGUUUCCUCCACCCCCAACACACAUUAAAACACCAUCAUUGAGAGACUU
Mus musculus (house mouse) is the source of this 2138-nucleotide long non-coding RNA. RefSeq annotates it as predicted gene, 51903. Lineage: Eukaryota; Metazoa; Chordata; Mammalia; Rodentia; Muridae. The transcript has 2 exons. The record is from RefSeq and is a predicted model, not a curated record.